Molecule: ribosomal RNA, 219 nt
Filed under: Escherichia coli
Lineage: Bacteria; Pseudomonadati; Pseudomonadota; Gammaproteobacteria; Enterobacterales; Enterobacteriaceae
Description: partial 16S ribosomal RNA
Rfam family: Bacterial small subunit ribosomal RNA
Source: RNAcentral
GAAACUGCCCGAUGGAGGGGGAUAACUACUGGAAACGGUAGCUAAUACCGCAUAACGUCGCAAGACCAAAGAGGGGGACCUUCGGGCCUCUUGCCAUCGGAUGUGCCCAGAUGGGAUUAGCUAGUAGGUGGGGUAAAGGCUCACCUAGGCGACGAUCCCUAGCUGGUCUGAGAGGAUGACCAGCCACACUGGAACUGAGACACGGUCCAGACUCCUACG